RNAcentral lists this ribosomal RNA (484 nucleotides) under uncultured bacterium. RNAcentral describes it as "partial 16S ribosomal RNA". It matches the Rfam family "Bacterial small subunit ribosomal RNA", at positions 30 to 507 of the family's 1533-position model. The record is from RNAcentral.
AUUGAACGCUGGCGGCAUGCUUUACACAUGCAAGUCGAACGGUAACAGGGAGCUUGCUCCGCUGACGAGUGGCGAACGGGUGAGUAAUAUAUCGGAACGUACCCAAGAGUGGGGGAUAACGUAGCGAAAGUUACGCUAAUACCGCAUACGAUCUAAGGAUGAAAGCAGGGGACCUUCGGGCCUUGUGCUCCUGGAGCGGCCGAUAUCUGAUUAGCUAGUUGGUGAGGUAAAGGCUCACCAAGGCGACGAUCAGUAGCUGGUCUGAGAGGACGACCAGCCACACUGGAACUGAGACACGGUCCAGACUCCUACGGGAGGCAGCAGUGGGGAAUUUUGGACAAUGGGCGCAAGCCUGAUCCAGCAAUGCCGCGUGAGUGAAGAAGGCCUUCGGGUUGUAAAGCUCUUUUGUCAGGGAAGAAACGGGAUUGGCUAAUAUCCAGUCCUAAUGACGGUACCUGAAGAAUAGGCACCGGCUAACUACGUG